Molecule: ribosomal RNA, 500 nt
Filed under: uncultured bacterium
Lineage: Bacteria
Description: partial 16S ribosomal RNA
Rfam family: Bacterial small subunit ribosomal RNA
Source: RNAcentral
AUUGAACGCUGGCGGCAUGCCUUACACAUGCAAGUCGAACGGCAGCGCGGACUUCGGUCUGGCGGCGAGUGGCGAACGGGUGAGUAAUACAUCGGAACGUACCCUGUUGUGGGGGAUAACUAGUCGAAAGAUUAGCUAAUACCGCAUACGACCUGAGGGUGAACGUGGGGGACCCCAAGGCCUCCAGCAGCAGGAGCGGCCGGUGUCUAGUUAGCGAGUUGGUGGGGUAAAGGCGCCCCAAGGCGACGAUCAGUAGCUGGUCUGAGAGGACGAUCAGCCACACUGGGACUGAGACACGGCCCAGACUCCUACGGGAGGCAGCAGUGGGGAAUUUUGGACAAUGGGGGCAACCCUGAGCCAGCAAUGCCGCGUGUGUGAAGAAGGCCUUCGGGUUGUAAAGCACUUUUGUCCGGAAAGAAAUCGCGCUGGUUAAUACCUGGCGUGGUUGACGGUACCGGAAGAAUAAGCACCGGCUAACUACGUGCCAGCAGCCGCCGUAA